Molecule: ribosomal RNA, 439 nt
Filed under: uncultured bacterium
Lineage: Bacteria
Description: partial 16S ribosomal RNA
Rfam family: Bacterial small subunit ribosomal RNA
Source: RNAcentral
CUACGGGUUGCUGCAGUGGGGAAUAUUGCACAAUGGAGGAAACUCUGAUGCAGCAACGCCGCGUGGAGGAUGACACUUUUCGGAGCGUAAACUCCUUUUAUAUAGGAAGAAGAUGACGGUACUAUAUGAAUAAGCGCCGGCUAACUCCGUGCCAGCAGCCGCGGUAAUACGGAGGGCGCAAGCGUUACUCGGAAUCACUGGGCGUAAGGAGCGUGUAGGCGGAUUAAAAAGUCAGAAGUGAAAUCCUAUAGCUUAACUAUAGAACUGCUUCUGAAACUCUUAAUCUAGAAUAUGGGAGAGGUAGAUGGAAUUUCUGGUGUAGGGGUAAAAUCCGUAGAGAUCAGAAGGAAUACCGAUUGAGAAGGCGAUCUACUAGAACAUUAUUGACGCUGAGACGCGAAAGCGUGGGGAGCAAACAGGAUUAGAUACCCUCGUAGUC